GCCCACGUAGCUCAGGCGGCAGAGCGCUUCCUUGGUAAGGAAGAGGUCGCCGGUUCGAGUCCGGCCGUGGGCU
Molecule: transfer RNA, 73 nt
Filed under: Candidatus Pacearchaeota archaeon
Lineage: Archaea; Nanobdellati
Description: tRNA-Thr
Rfam family: tRNA
About the family: Transfer RNA (tRNA) molecules are approximately 80 nucleotides in length.
Source: RNAcentral